GCUGGGCACGGUGGUGCAUGCUUGUAAUUCCAGUAGCUUGGGAGGCUGAGACAGGAGCAUAGUGAGUUCAAAGCCAGCUUCAGCAAUAGUGAGGCAUUAAGCAACUCAGUGAGAUCCUGUCUCUA
RNAcentral lists this small RNA (125 nucleotides) under Marmota monax (woodchuck). The record is from RNAcentral. Lineage: Eukaryota; Metazoa; Chordata; Mammalia; Rodentia; Sciuridae.